Molecule: ribosomal RNA, 253 nt
Filed under: uncultured bacterium
Lineage: Bacteria
Description: partial 16S ribosomal RNA
Rfam family: Bacterial small subunit ribosomal RNA
Source: RNAcentral
UACAGAGGUGGCAAGCGUUGUUCGGAAUUACUGGGCGUAAAGGGCGCGUAGGCGGCCUUCUAAGUCAGACGUGAAAUCCCCCGGCUUAACCUGGGAACUGCGUCUGAUACUGGGAGGCUUGAGUAUGGGAGAGGGAUGUAGAAUUCCAGGUGUAGCGGUGAAAUGCGUAGAUAUCUGGAGGAAUACCGGUGGCGAAGGCGGCAUCCUGGACCAUUACUGACGCUGAGGCGCGAAAGCCAGGGGAGCAAACGGG